CUCUGCUCUCUAAACCCAAUCGUCCCAUUCUUGCUCCCGCUGACCAGGCUGUCCAGCUGCCUGUGUCUAUCAGUGAGUAAAAGAUUCUGUAAAUAAAGAUGCAAAUGUAAGUGGAGAAGACUCCAUUCAUUUCUGACUGACUUUUUUGGAGCCAAGAUUUCACCCCAGUCUUCACAGUUAUGACAUUUGGUGUUCAAUCUGGCCUCUUCCAGCAGAAUAUUCAGUCUGUGCUCCUUGCAAUUAUGCCGUGUUUGCAUCACACCAUAACAAGUGUGCUACAAGAGUUUCACGCACUGGAAUCUACCACACGCCAGAACCCUAUGGUAGAAAUAAACUGAAGAAGGUCAAUUAAUUGAAAAUGUGGUUGUAUAUCUGAAGAACUGGAUGUGUAAAAUGAAGCAGCUGAAGAAAAGGACUACACUUCCAUAUACUAUUCAGUACUAGAAGUGAGGACUAGUAAUCAUGGCCUACGUUUUCUACCUCUCUGCAGGUUUGCCACUUUGAGGGAGCUACAUCCUGCUUAUGUCCUGCUGUCGUGGUUUAACCCCAGCUGGCAAAUCCAAAACGUAGCACAUGCCAGAUACUAUGAAGCAAUUAACUCUAUUCCAGCCAAAACUACCACAUCUGCUUUAUUCUCCUCUCAUUUCUAAGAAAAUGCUACCACUGAGCACAUUUCUUCUAUGUAUAGGAGUCUCCUUGCUCCUUUCCAAACCAAAGGGUUCACUAAGUAAUUAUUGCAUGACUACUCUGAUUUCAAAUAGGCAUGCUAAUAAAAGCUAAUGUAAGUCAGGGCACUUUCUCCUUGGAUUCACAGGCUGUGUCCAGAAUGAAAUAACUUGUCACGCCCAAGAUUGUAAUGCUAGCUUCCAAGUUCCCAGACUCAAGUGACCUAGCAGGACAGAGCCACAAACCUCCACGCUAACACAUCUGCACCAGGUGCAGACUCAGAGAAGGGACUGAUUCUGUAAGUAGCAUCGGCUUCUUGAAUGGUGUACGUGUGCAUUGAGGAGCCACAAAAGCUGUUGUUUUGAUAGUUUACACUGUCCUUGUGCACUUGUGAGUUGUUCUUCAAAUUUCUUGGAGCCAUUAGUAGGCAGCAGGCUGGCAGCCUACCCACAUGCAUGGUGAGGUGAAUCACCCAUCCUCCAAAGACAACACACAAAGACUAUCAAGAGAUAACUGUGGAGUAAACUGGAGGUCACCACCAAGCUUUCUUGCGAAUGAAAUGAGUAAGGUAUUACACUCACUUUAAAGCUUCUCAUUUUCCAGACAUCUUGUUCAAUGUUCUACAAGCAAUGAGAAAGCUUUUUACCAUAGCGAAUUCCACAUGUCUCAGGCAAUGCAUUUGAUUUCACCAAAACCCCAUUACAAUUGGGUUUACCAAUUCGAUCCAUUUUCAAACACUUUUGGUUAAAGAUUUGUAACCUAUAUUGCCAAUAACUUUAAGAUUAUCUGACAAACAAAACUCAUCAACA
This is a long non-coding RNA of Neopsephotus bourkii (Bourke's parrot), 1475 nucleotides long. RefSeq lists it as uncharacterized. NCBI's taxonomy places the organism in Eukaryota, Metazoa, Chordata, Aves, Psittaciformes, Psittacidae. The record is from RefSeq and is a predicted model, not a curated record. The transcript has 3 exons.